CUCUCAUGAACAAACAGAAAACAACACAUAAAUUGAAUCAAUUAACAUCAUUUUAACAUUAAUACAGAAUCACCUUCAUUCCAAUAAUUAAAACAUACGUAAUAUAGGACCAUCAUCCAGCAAAUUAAUUCAAUAAUAGUGGUCAUCACUUUAACUUAAAAAAACUAAAACCCCCAGUCUAUUAUCCAUCGCGUUCUAUUUCGGUAAAUUGUGAACCAAAAGAAAAGAAGAAGGCAUCAACCUGCUCCGGCAUUUUUUGACCGCCACGAGGUCGUCAUUUGGGUCCUGAAAUUACGUCGAUAGAACAACCAAAAAAGAAGAAAAAGAGGAGGUGGCGGUUCAAGGUUUCAUCCUCCUCGCCUUACCGCCAGAACCACGAAUGGCACCUCUGCUAUCGCCAAAUCGUGUCCAGGAGCGGGUCACCUUCUUAUAACCGCUGGACGGUGCUCCGGCACCCACCGCUACCUCUGGAUGGCCACCGUAGAAGGAGGAAGAGAGUCCAAUAGCUCUAUUGCUUCGAUCCGUCACUGGCGUCACCACUACAAGCAUUCUUAGCCGCAACUGAGAGUGGAACUUCUUUAGGGAUUUCAUUUUUUUUCCAUUUCUUUGUCUCUGUUAAAAGAUGGAAGUGUUUCUUAUUUUUUAUUUUUGACUUACU
Molecule: long non-coding RNA, 658 nt
Filed under: Lupinus angustifolius (narrow-leaved blue lupine)
Lineage: Eukaryota; Viridiplantae; Streptophyta; Magnoliopsida; Fabales; Fabaceae
Description: long non-coding RNA (LANG_LNC000596)
Source: RNAcentral